RNAcentral lists this ribosomal RNA (204 nucleotides) under Triticum aestivum (bread wheat). RNAcentral describes it as "partial small subunit ribosomal RNA". Lineage: Eukaryota; Viridiplantae; Streptophyta; Magnoliopsida; Poales; Poaceae. The record is from RNAcentral.
AUGAGUGAGACGGUGAAGGUUUUGAGCGCUUUCGGUAGCAUGUACGGCCACCGUCCGGAGGUGGCCCUGAGGCUCAAGGGAAUACCUUACCAGCUGCUGCUCACCCACAACCCUGUCCACAAACUGGUCUCGGUGCUACUCCACGGCGACAGGUCCAUCUGCGAGUCAGUCGUCGUCAUCUAUAUACGAAAAAAUUGCAUGUGA